AGCAGUAGCCGCGGGAAUACGGAGGGUGCAAGCGUUAAUCGGAAUUACUGGGCGUAAAGCGCACGCAGGCGGUCUGACAAGUCAGAUGUGAAAUCCCCGGGCUUAACCUGGGAACUGCAUUUGAAACUGUCAGGCUGGAGUCUUGUAGAGGGGGGUAGAAUUCCAGGUGUAGCGGUGAAAUGCGUAGAGAUCUGGAGGAAUACCGGUGGCGAAGGCGGCCCCCUGGACAAAGACUGACGCUCAGGUGCGAAAGCGUGGGGAGCAAACAGGAUUAGAUACCCGGGUAGUCCCUGUCUCUUAUAC
RNAcentral lists this ribosomal RNA (303 nucleotides) under uncultured bacterium. RNAcentral describes it as "partial 16S ribosomal RNA". It matches the Rfam family "Bacterial small subunit ribosomal RNA", at positions 507 to 807 of the family's 1533-position model. The record is from RNAcentral.